RNAcentral lists this ribosomal RNA (253 nucleotides) under uncultured bacterium. RNAcentral's name for it is "partial 16S ribosomal RNA". It matches the Rfam family "Bacterial small subunit ribosomal RNA", at positions 524 to 776 of the family's 1533-position model. The record is from RNAcentral.
UACGUAGGGCGCAAGCGUUGUCCGGAAUUAUUGGGCGUAAAGAGCUCGUAGGCGGUUUGUCGCGUCUGUCGUGAAAGCUUGGGGCUUAACCCCAAGUCUGCGGUGGAUACGGGCAGACUAGAGGCAGGUAGGGGAGAACGGAAUUCCCGGUGUAGCGGUGAAAUGCGCAGAUAUCAGGAGGAACACCGGUGGCGAAGGCGGUUCUCUGGGCAUGUCCUGACGCUGAGGAGCGAAAGUGUGGGGAGCGAACAGG